RNAcentral lists this ribosomal RNA (200 nucleotides) under uncultured bacterium. RNAcentral's name for it is "partial 16S ribosomal RNA". It matches the Rfam family "Bacterial small subunit ribosomal RNA", at positions 8 to 234 of the family's 1533-position model. The record is from RNAcentral.
AGAGUUUGAUCCUGGCUCAGGACGAACGCUGGCGGCGUGCUUAACACAUGCAAGUCGAGGGGUAGUAAUACCACUGGCGCACGGGUGAGUAACGCGUAGAUUAUCUGCCCCUAUCACAGACAUAACAUUUCGAAAGAAAUGCUAAUAUCUGAUGAGGUGCUUCGGCAUCAAAGUAGCGAUACGGAUAGGGAUGAGUCUGC